This 497-nucleotide ribosomal RNA is filed under the name uncultured bacterium. Its description in RNAcentral is "partial 16S ribosomal RNA". It matches the Rfam family "Bacterial small subunit ribosomal RNA", at positions 28 to 507 of the family's 1533-position model. The record is from RNAcentral.
GAUGAACGCUGGCGGCGUGCCUAAUACAUGCCAGUCGAGCGAACAGACGAGGAGCUUGCUCCUCUGACGUUAGCGGCGGACGGGUGAGUAACACGUGGAUAACCUACCUAUAAGACUGGGAUAACUUCGGGAAACCGGAGCUAAUACCGGAUAAUAUAUUGAACCGCAUGGUUCAAUAGUGAAAGACGGUUUUGCUGUCACUUAUAGAUAGAUCCGCGCCGCAUUAGCUAGUUGGUAAGGUAACGGCUUACCAAGGCAACGAUGCGUAGCCGACCUGAGAGGGGGAUCGGCCACACUGGAACUGAGACACGGUCCAGACUCCUACGGGAGGCAGCAGUAGGGAAUCUUCCGCAAUGGGCGAAAGCCUGACGGAGCAACGCCGCGUGAGUGAUGAAGGUCUUCGGAUCGUAAAACUCUGUUAUUAGGGAAGAACAAAUGUGUAAGUAACUAUGCACGUCUUGACGGUACCUAAUCAGAAAGCCACGGCUAACUACGUG